AAUACAUAAUUAACUAGAAAUAUUCCAAAUUAAGUAUAAGGCAUGGUAGAGUCAAAAAAAAAGUUAGGAGUUUCGGAAGGUGUAGUCCCCAAAUCAUGUAGCCAUGCAUCAUCAUCAUCAUCAUGAUCAUUAUCAUCUGGAGAGGUAUCCUCAUUUUUCGCCUCUUCGGAAACCUCUUCUGGCAAUGAACCAAGUUGUUCAAGAAUAAUUGUAUUAGAAUCUCGAAUUUUAUUUUCACGCGAUGCAGCCAUCAUCUUCGAGUUUACUCAUAUGUAAACCAAGUCGGUUAAUAUAGUUGGUGUCAAUCUAUUCAUUUUUUUGGUUUGAGUCGUCUCAAAAGUACUUCAAUUUUUUUCAUACGUUAAUGAGCUACAUGGUUGGUUCAAAAUCCGACUGGCAACCAUUCGAACUAAUGGAAUGCUUUCUCCACAUACUGCCCACCAAACUUCUACAUAAUGAGAAAUGUUUAGCCACAUAUUCAAGAUACAAUUUAAAGUGGUAUAAAAUUUAUUUUCUUAAAAUACUUAAAAAAAUAAAUAACACAAGGAGAUACAAAAACCUAAUAGUCCAUAAGAUACUUACGAGGAUGAGCUGUUGACAAUAAUCCUAAUGCAAUACCAUCAAAUAUAUUUGAAUCACGCGUAUGAUACUUCAACAACUUUGAAAAGAAUACAAUUUUGUGUUCUGCCUGGAUCAUUGAAUUUGAAAUCAAGAUAAAUUCAGCUUUCACUUCAGGAUUAUCAAGUUGAACAAACCCACUUUACAUUAAAGUUGUAUUAAGAAAUGUGGCAGCAAUUUGUAUUAAGAAAUGUGGCAGCAACAUGAAUGGGGUGAAAUGCAUUUCCCUUUCGCCUCUUUUCAAAUAUCUUCACGAAUUCAAGAUACCUAGAUUCAUUGCCAUUACAAUUUCUUUUUAAUGCUUCCCUUACUCUUUCCAUUGCUUCAUAUAAAUAUCCCAUGAUUGACCCUUCACUAUCACCCAAACGAAGCACCUUGAUAAGAUGUGCUAAUGUAGUGAUUUGAAUUAUUUCUGUGAUUUUUUAGCCAUUUUUACUCUUGAUAUAAUUCAUAGCUCUUCACUCGGAGGAUGCAAC
This 1094-nucleotide long non-coding RNA is filed under the name Amborella trichopoda. Its description in RNAcentral is "long non-coding RNA (ATRI_LNC005014)". Lineage: Eukaryota; Viridiplantae; Streptophyta; Magnoliopsida; Amborellales; Amborellaceae. The record is from RNAcentral.